AGAGUUUGAUCCUGGCUCAGGACGAACGCUGGCGGCGUGCUUAACACAUGCAAGUCGAACGGUAAGGCCCUUCGGGGUACACGAGUGGCGAACGGGUGAGUAACACGUGGGUAAUCUGCCCUGCACAUCGGGAUAAGCCUGGGAAACUGGGUCUAAUACCGAAUAGGACCACAGGACACAUGUCCUGUGGUGGAAAGCUUUUGCGGUGUGGGAUGGGCCCGCGGCCUAUCAACUUGUUGGUGGGGUGAUGGCCUACCAAGGCGACGACGGGUAGCCGGCCUGAGAGGGUGUCCGGCCACACUGGGACUGAGAUACGGCCCAGACUCCUACGGGAGGCAGCAGUGGGGAAUAUUGCACAAUGGGCGAAAGCCUGAUGCAGCGACGCCGCGUGGGGGAUGACGGCCUUCGGGUUGUAAACCUCUUUCACCAUCGACGAAGGUCCGGGUUUUCUCGGGCUGACGGUAGGUGGAGAAGAAGCACCGGCCAACUACGUGCCAGCAGCCGCGGUAAUACGUAGGGUGCGAGCGUUGUCCGGAAUUACUGGGCGUAAAGAGUUCGUAGGUGGUUUGUCGCGUUGUUCGUGAAAUCUCACGGCUUAACUGUGAGCGUGCGGGCGAUACGGGCAGACUUGAGUACUGCAGGGGAGACUGGAAUUCCUGGUGUAGCGGUGAAAUGCGUAGA
Molecule: ribosomal RNA, 681 nt
Filed under: uncultured bacterium
Lineage: Bacteria
Description: bacterial SSU rRNA
Rfam family: Bacterial small subunit ribosomal RNA
Source: RNAcentral